AAGAGAGAGACAUGCGCGCAUAUCAAUAAGCGGAGGAAAAGAAACUAACAAGGAUUCCCUUAGUAACGGCGAGUGAAGCGGGAAGAGCUCAAAUUUGAAAUCUUCAAGGUUUUACCUUGACGAAUUGUAGUUUAAAGAAGUGUUUUCUGCUGAAGUUUUGGUAAAAGUUCUUUGGAAUAGGACAUCAUAGAGGGUGAGAAUCCCGUAUUUGACCAUUAUUUUCCAGCUUUGUGAUACACUUUCAAAGAGUCGGAUUGUUUGGGGAUGCAGUCCAAAAUGGGUGGUAAAUUUCAUCUAAAGCUAAAUACUGGCGAGAGACCGAUAGCGAACAAGUACCGUGAGGGAAAGAUGAAAAGAACUUUGAAAAGAGAGUUAAACAGUACGUGAAAUUGUCAAAAGGGAAGCGUUUGACACCAGUGUUGUUUUCUCGAAAAUCAAUUAAAAAUGGCUCGAUUUUGUAUUGCUGAGACCUUAAAAGCUCACUGUACAUUUUUCGUGUCUUUUUUAAUGCACUUUUCGUUUAACAAGUCAACAUCAGUUUCUUUUGUUGUAAAAGGGUCAUUGGAAGGUGGCUUUCUUUUCGGAGAAAGUGUUUAUAGCCUUUGGCCUCUGCAAUCGGAGAGACUGAGGUCUGCAGCGUAGACUCUUCGGGGUUAGAUACAUUUGUGCUAAGUUAUAGCUUUUUAUAGACAACUUGUUGACUAUAAUUAGUCUUGUAGCUUACUCGCUUAUGCUAUUUUACCUACGCUUAGGAUGUUGAAGAUGUAGCACAUCAU
Molecule: ribosomal RNA, 776 nt
Filed under: uncultured Neocallimastigales
Lineage: Eukaryota; Fungi; Neocallimastigomycota; Neocallimastigomycetes; Neocallimastigales
Description: partial large subunit ribosomal RNA
Rfam family: Eukaryotic large subunit ribosomal RNA
Source: RNAcentral